UUCAUAUGAAUAUACGUCUCAUUCCACACUGCUUCCGAGAUAGAGCUAUUUGAAUGUACAGCGGAAUAUGGCCAAUUUCAUAUGCAAACAAUUUCACGUGAGUUCGAGAAUCAAAAGGGAGUGGAGCAUCUCGUAAAAGAUGGACUUAUUUUGCGGCGAAAAGUAGUAACUAAGUUAAGUUAAAAUUAUUUAACCUUAUUUUUUUAACUGGACACUACCAAACCCUGCAAGGCAGUCUUUAAAGCAAAAAGUGGUUACUUUGAGCUAGGAAUCUGAAAUUUAAUUUAAAUCUUGAUUAAAAGCUUGUCGUACGUACGCAAGUAUCUUCGUUUCAAUUGUCUUUAGUUAAAUAAACACAAAGCAAACU
This is a long non-coding RNA of Vollenhovia emeryi, 367 nucleotides long. RefSeq lists it as uncharacterized. Lineage: Eukaryota; Metazoa; Arthropoda; Insecta; Hymenoptera; Formicidae. The transcript is spliced from 2 exons. The record is from RefSeq and is a predicted model, not a curated record.